UAAUCAAAAUCAUAAACAGCUUACUUUCUCCCCCUUUUUUUGUGGGUAGAAUCUCUGCUCCUUGAUCCAGGGCAAAGGUGGGCACAAGUACAACCCCAGUGCGCGGGAGUUCACUGCUGCUCUCAGGGGACUGAGUGUGUCAAACAUCCUAUCUGCCCUCUCUUCGGUCACAUCUAAUUGUGAGGUGGAUGAUGGAGUCACACUUCUGACUUCCUCAUCUGAUGGGGCGACUCCCUCGACCUCAGCAACAACAGGUCCACUGACGCUUCUGACCACCUCAUUGGCCCUGCCACCAUCUACAACUGCAAUAGAACCAAUGGAUGUAGAACUGGUGUCAGACAUUGUGGAAGACAAGACUGUUGGUGAUUGCAUCCAGGAGGAGGGCCUGACCCUCUUUUAUGUUGCUGGCUGGGUAAUCCGGCUCCUUCAGCAGGAGGAAACAGUGAGGGCAUGUCCUCACUGUGAAGUCCUGCUGUUGGGUCCAACACAUCAAGACCACAGCUACACUGCAAGCAAAGAGCACCCUUUCCUGGCGGC
Molecule: long non-coding RNA, 537 nt
Organism: Sander lucioperca (pikeperch)
Lineage: Eukaryota; Metazoa; Chordata; Actinopteri; Perciformes; Percidae
Exons: 2
Source: RefSeq, a predicted model, not a curated record